UUUCUUACUAAGCACACACUGCAAUCCCACUGUCCUUCCUUCUUAGUGAACAUUCCCUCAAAUCCGCUCUUUGGAGCCUUGCUUGUCUCUGAAGAGGCAGGUGUUGAAACUGCAGAAGUAGUUUGAUUUUGUUUACCUGGAUUCUGACAAGCAAUACAUUUGGUAGCACUGGCUUCAUUUCUUACUAAGCACACACUGCAAUCCCACUGUCCCUCCUUCUUAGUGAACAUUCCCUCAAAUCCGCUCUUUGGAGCCUUGCUUGUCUCUGAAGUACCAAACUUAAAAGAGGCAGGUGUUGGAAUAGAAGUAGCAGGUAGACUCUGUUUUCUCGGAUUCUGACAAGCA
This 345-nucleotide long non-coding RNA is filed under the name Homo sapiens (human). Its description in RNAcentral is "HSALNT0037481". The record is from RNAcentral. Lineage: Eukaryota; Metazoa; Chordata; Mammalia; Primates; Hominidae.